Molecule: non-coding RNA, 87 nt
Organism: Myotis davidii
Lineage: Eukaryota; Metazoa; Chordata; Mammalia; Chiroptera; Vespertilionidae
Source: Rfam
AGAGGCCCUCCGCUGCCAGGGUGGAAUGCUUGCCUUGUCGCUGUGGCAACAAAGCAAGCAUUCCACCAGGCCGCUCAUGCUGCCCGC